RNAcentral lists this ribosomal RNA (637 nucleotides) under uncultured bacterium. RNAcentral describes it as "bacterial SSU rRNA". It matches the Rfam family "Bacterial small subunit ribosomal RNA", at positions 607 to 1244 of the family's 1533-position model. The record is from RNAcentral.
GCUUAACCGAAGAAGUGCAUCGGAAACUGGGUGACUUGAGUGCAGAAGAGGACAGUGGAACUCCAUGUGUAGCGGUGGAAUGCGUAGAUAUAUGGAAGAACACCAGUGGCGAAGGCGGCUGUCUGGUCUGCAACUGACGCUGAGGCUCGAAAGCAUGGGUAGCGAACAGGAUUAGAUACCCUGGUAGUCCAUGCCGUAAACGAUGAGUGCUAGGUGUUGGAGGGUUUCCGCCCUUCAGUGCCGGAGCUAACGCAUUAAGCACUCCGCCUGGGGAGUACGACCGCAAGGUUGAAACUCAAAGGAAUUGACGGGGGCCCGCACAAGCGGUGGAGCAUGUGGUUUAAUUCGAAGCUACGCGAAGAACCUUACCAGGUCUUGACAUCUUGCGCUAACCUAAGAGAUUAGGCGUUCCCUUCGGGGACGCAAUGACAGGUGGUGCAUGGUCGUCGUCAGCUCGUGUCGUGAGAUGUUGGGUUAAGUCCCGCAACGAGCGCAACCCUUGUUACUAGUUGCCAGCAUUCAGUUGGGCACUCUAGUGAGACUGCCGGUGACAAACCGGAGGAAGGUGGGGACGACGUCAGAUCAUCAUGCCCCUUAUGACCUGGGCUACACACGUGCUACAAUGGAUAAUACAAAG